AGUGAACGCUGGCGGUAGGCCUAACACAUGCAAGUCGAACGGCAGCACAGUAAGAGCUUGCUCUUUCGGGUGGCGAGUGGCGGACGAGUGAGGAAUACAUCGGAAUCUACUUUUUCGUGGGGGAUAACGUAGGGAAACUUACGCUAAUACCGCAUACGACCUACGGGUGAAAGCAGGGGAUCUUCGGACCUUGCGCGAUUGAAUGAGCCGAUGUCGGAUUAGUUAGUUGGCGGGGUAAAGGCCCACCAAGGCGACGAUCCGUAGCUGGUCUGAGAGGAUGAUCAGCCACACUGGAACUGAGACACGGUCCAGACUCCUACGGGAGGCAGCAGUGGGGAAUAUUGGACAAUGGGCGCAAGCCUGAUCCAGCCAUACCGCGUGAGUGAAGAAGGCCUUCGGGUUGUAAAGCCCUUUUGUUGGGAAAGAAAAGCAGCAGGUUAAUACCCCGCUGUUCUGACGGUACCCAAAGAAUAAGCACCGGCUAACUUCGUG
RNAcentral lists this ribosomal RNA (492 nucleotides) under uncultured bacterium. RNAcentral describes it as "partial 16S ribosomal RNA". It matches the Rfam family "Bacterial small subunit ribosomal RNA", at positions 29 to 507 of the family's 1533-position model. The record is from RNAcentral.